GCCGCGUCAUUAAAGGCGUAGGGGGCAGAUUCAAAAUCCGCCGCCGCAAGGUGUGUGGGUUCGAGUCCCACUCUCGGCACCA
RNAcentral lists this transfer RNA (82 nucleotides) under Thauera humireducens. RNAcentral describes it as "tRNA-Leu". The record is from RNAcentral. Lineage: Bacteria; Pseudomonadati; Pseudomonadota; Betaproteobacteria; Rhodocyclales; Zoogloeaceae.